Molecule: ribosomal RNA, 550 nt
Filed under: Micryletta lineata
Lineage: Eukaryota; Metazoa; Chordata; Amphibia; Anura; Microhylidae
Description: partial 16S ribosomal RNA
Rfam family: Bacterial large subunit ribosomal RNA
Source: RNAcentral
CCUGAAAACCAUAGGAGGUCCAGCCUGCCCAGUGACAAAGUUAAACGGCCGCGGUACCCUAACCGUGCGAAGGUAGCGCAAUCACUUGUUCUUUAAAUGAGGACUAGUAUGAAUGGCAUCACGAGGGUUACACUGUCUCCCCCAUCCAAUCAGUGAAACUGAUCUCCUCGUGAAGAAGCGAGGAUUAAAUUAUAAGACGAGAAGACCCCAUGGAGCUUUAAACUCAGUAUCAACUGUCUUACAAUAAACCAAAGUAACCUGACAGAAAUGACUACUAGUUUUCGGUUGGGGUGACCGCGGAGCAAAACAAAACCUCCACGAUGAACGGGCCUCUUACCCUUAUCCAAGAGCUACAACUCUAAGAAUCAAAAAAUUGACAAAAAUUGAUCCAAAUAUAAUUGAUCAACGAACCAAGUUACCCUGGGGAUAACAGCGCAAUCCAUUUCAAGAGCCCCUAUCGACAAAUGGGUUUACGACCUCGAUGUUGGAUCAGGGUAUCCCAGUGGUGCAGCCGCUACUAAAGGUUCGUUUGUUCAACGAUUAAAACCCU